This 4657-nucleotide long non-coding RNA is filed under the name Linum usitatissimum (flax). RNAcentral describes it as "long non-coding RNA (LUSI_LNC004872)". Lineage: Eukaryota; Viridiplantae; Streptophyta; Magnoliopsida; Malpighiales; Linaceae. The record is from RNAcentral.
GGAAAUUAUGAUUCCAUCUUUAAGAGACCCGCUGCUGAGUACUGGUGGGUUUAAUUUAAUUGUCUGAUAGAAGUAAGAGAAAUGGAUGAUCAUCAUCAUCAUCAUCAUCAUCAUCUCUUCAUCACCUUCAUCAUUCUCCUGAUCUCACUGUCAUCAGCACUAAUGACAGAAGCUGCAGCGGAUUCGCAUCCAAGAUCAGUGUUGUUGAAAGUGGCGGUGGGGGCUUCGGUAUGUGUUAUUGUCUUGAUUCUGCUGCUGGUGGUCGUGUUGUGUUGCGUCAGUGCGGUUUGGAGGAGGUCGAAGAUGGCUGAGAUGCAGAGAAAUGGCCGAUGAUCGACGAUGAUGGAAAACUAAGCUUGGAAUGGUGAAGUGAGGGUUUAGUAAAUUUCUCUGGUGAUGGAUCAAUGAUGAAUAAUGAAGCAAGAAGACGAAGCAGACACUCUGUUGUGGUUUAGUUUCCUGUUUCCUGUUUCUGUGUUCUGUUCCUUGUUUUGUAAUCUUGUUUUUAUAAUGUGACACCAUGUUUGUUAUCUUUGAUGUUCCACUGUGUCUUUAGAGACUUUUAUUCGGAUCACAUUGUCACUAUUGAUCAAGUGUGUACGUUUUUGCUUGAGAUCAAGCCAAUGCCGGUUGGCAUCGUCGACCGAAACAUCAUCGUGAGAACAUUAUCAAAAACACUAGUGCAAGAAGUUUCGAUUACGGAAAAUUUCAUUCAUUUCUCUCAUCCCACACAAAUCAACAAAUCGCGAUACAAAAGAAGAGUUACUACAAAUACUUCGAAAUCUCUGCUUUUGUAACGAAAUCCGUCCCAGCAACUUGAAAACGAAAAUCCUUAAGGCUUGGCGGGGAAGGAGCCUUAGAUAUUUAGAUUUGUCCAGAUUUUGCUCAAAAUAAAUCACACAUUUGACUAAUAAAAAGUAUUCAAUUAUGUAUUGUUAACCCGAUAUAAUCAUUUUGAAUUUCGCCAAUUUAAAUAAAUCGUUUCUAUUUUCAUUUCACUCUGUUUUCAAUACGAUUUGAUUUUAACUAGACCACCAAAGUAAAACAUGUCUUUUAGAAAAAAAAUUAUUAUUUCAUUAUAAUAUUAUAUUAUAAACCGUGUUAUCCUAAUAACUAACAUUAUUAAAAAUUAAUUCAAAUUAACUUAUAUAUUAUUCAAUAUUCAUCCCUUCAUAUCUUGCUUCGUGACUUAGGAUUUGUAUAACAUUUUCCUCUGAAAAAACUGGGUCCAUUCACAGGCCCAUGGGUCAAGAGCCCAAAUUCUAGGAUUUCAGGGCCCACGCCGAAAAAUGACCAUUACACUGAAAUCUGGGAAUGUUAAUAUGUUAAUGGUUGGAAGCUCAAUGAUUUAAUUAAUAGAAUAUAAUAGUUGACACAAUUUUUAUAUUGAAGAAAAUAAAAAUAAAAUAGGUAUUCCUUUGUGGAAUGAGAUUGAAUUUAAACUCGAUAUUUUAAAAUCAUCAACGUAUAAUUCUACCAAGUACUAAUUGAGCUAUUCUAUUUUGACAAAUAACGAUAACUCGAAUUAUGAAAAAACUAACAAAUUUAGAUCAUGACAUGCAUGGAUACAAACAUGUCAAAUACAAAUUAACAACUGUAACUCAGCCAGAAGUACAUAUGCAUUACCCUUUUGCUCCUCUCCAUUCCUUCCUUCAAAGGACAAGGUAAUUUAUUAUGACAACAAUAAGAAAAACAACAUGGAACAGUAGUAGUAGUAGUACUGUUAGUUCUUAGUAUAUAUAUAUAUAUAUGUAACUGUUAAUAAGAGAAGCUGUUCAGGGAGUAGGAGUCAUGAUUCUAGCAGGAGGAGAGGUGGAAUUAGCUUUAGCUGUUGAUCUUCUUCUGGCAGGAUCAGCUAGCCCUAUGAACAACUCUGUCUCAACCUCCAUACUCUCUUCAUCAUCAUCACCAUCUUCUUCUUCUGCUAUAACCACUAUGUCCAGUUGUUGAUUGUGAUGAUGAUGCUUCACCUUCGUGCUGUAACUUGAUAGCUUCAUUGAUGGCUCCACUCCACACUAUACAGCAGCCAAAAGAUCACACUAAAGUUAUGUUGAUUAAUUAUAUAGAAUCAAUGUUCAUGAUAAUGGUAUUGGAGAUUUUGUUGCACGAGACGGACCGAAAUUGUGCAAACUUCAGACACUUCUGAAAGCUACCGUUUGGAGGAUUGCAGUAAAGUUCAAGAAGGAGCAAUAAAUCAUUUGGUUGUAAUUACCUUUUCCCUCAGCUUUUUGUUCUCUUCCAGCAAGAUCUUCUCCUGCAUUACCAUAUUAACCAGGUUCUUUGUUAUUGAUUAACAAGACCAUUACGAUGAGUAUUAUGAAAGAAAGAAAAAUAACAGUUCAUUUACCUCUUCCCGUAGCUUGUCAAUCUGAUCCAUAAACAGCUGGUUCUGAAAGAAAGAGAUUACGGUUGAUCAAGUUCGUCAAUGUUUAGAUUUAUAACAGUUUGCUCUAAUGCUCGAGUUGCAAAACGUAUCGAAGCAAGUACUAACCAAUAACAAGUCAAUAAAGAAAGUACCUUUCUUGCCCUAAUUCUACUCAAGCUUCUCUCCAGCUGACAUUCUAUCUUUCUGAGCUCAGCAGUGGAACAUGCUUCCAAACAUUCUCCCAUUAGUUGCCUGCCAAAUUCAUAAGAAUUUUUGUUUUAUAAGAACAGUUCAUUUCAUAUGUACACAGACACCUAACUGAUUCAAAGAACGGUAAAUCACCUCUUUGAUAUUUCGAGUUGCUCUAUCUUCUUCUCCAUGCUCAAGCCAUCGUUAUCCUGAAUCAUGUUAUCUUCGAACUCUUUGCUUCCUGGUCCAAUAUCCUUAUGCUUCUUCUCGUACCGCUCUAUCGUUUUGGUGAUACUGGAAAUGACAAGAAUGAACUUCUUGAGAUUCUAGCAUCUACCAUUCAAGAGUUUAGAAUACCAUCUCACCUAAUUAGAAUUGGAGUGCCAAAUCUCAACCAUACAUCUUAGAUAAGAUACUAAUUACCAUACAACUUGUUCAAACCGACGCGAAGUCACACAACUUAAACCGACACCAAGCCAGUAAACAUGAUGCCAAAACACGAAAGACUUGCAGUUUUAUACAUCUUUUGACGUUCAGUAGCUCAUUACCAACUGAAGCCAAAGUAACAUAACGGUUUUCUUGUAGCGAGUUUUGGUAUCCAAAGGUCGACUUGAUCGUCGCACAUAUAUCAAAUGAAUUAUAAAUGCGAGAGUUGGUGCUAACAAUAUCAAAUGAAAAAUCAAUCGGAUAAUAACAUGUAGAAAUCCAUCUAUAGAAAGCUAUCAGAUUAAUAUAGUGAUUAAUGAUCAACUUCGAGUUAAGUACCUUUUAAGCUGUUGAUAAGUAGGUUAAUAAAAAUCUUGAUGAUCAAUACAACACAAGGCAAUGUUCAAGUGUACGUAUCAUGAAUUCUUUUAAUGAGCUAUUGACCAUUACUUUAUUAGGUACAAAAAGCACAUCCACAAAGUAAAUAAUAAUAAAUUAUUGACCAGAAAUGUAAUUUUUUUGAUCUUUAAAUAAUAUCUUUUUAUCUAAUUUUACAUUCAAAUCAAUUUUAGAAGAUAACGAAUCAAAGAUCAAGCAAACAACUAGUCAAUGGAAAGACCAUUUUAUUGAAACCAUAUAGUGUUAGUUGACGAUUGUUGUUUAAAUUUAAGAGACAAAUAACAGACACAUUCAAAUACAACUGUAUACCAAUAAUAUCUAAAAAAUAGUUUUAGUAGUCAUAGUAAAUAUGUGGAUUCCUAGGUGGUUUGAAUAUCAAUGACCUCUAUACAUACUAAAUAAUUUUGCUUUAUCUGUCAAGGGGGCUGCAUGCAACCCCUAAUGUUCGUCUUUGUGCAUGAGUUCAGACCCAUACAAAGGAUUGACGAUACAAUUGAGGUAAAAGAACUGAAAACAAACCGCCGAUAACUAAAAAGAAGGAGCUUCGAAAAAAAGGCGGAAACCAAUGAAAAAACAUAUGUUAGUAAAUUGUAAACUAAGCAACUUAGAUGCUCUUAAGACCCUUUAAGUCCAUCCAUCAACAUUAGCUAUGAACCUAUAUCAUGGCAACAUUGGUUAGCAACUCAGGAUCAACAGUUCAAUUAUUUCCAAAAGGAUUGAGGCCAGGUAAUUAGUAAUCAUGUAUGCAAACUUGUCUUUCCAACAGCAACACAAAUGUAGUUUACAACAGAGAAGAACAGUACUAAUUAACACAUAUAAUAACCAAUCAGAAGAAUCUCUCCUAGCUACCUACCUUGUUGUGUGUGAGUAAACAAAAAACAAGAAUCUGACAGCAUACAAGAAAUCAGUAUACUUCUCCCCCAAAGCAAUUCAAAGACUCACUCUUUUACACAAAUAUCAAGAACAGUAAACUAAUAAUACUAAUUCAAUCGGUCUGACUAUGCUAUACAAAACACAUCACAACGUUGCUUACCUUGGAGAAAACAUUUCUGAGAUUCAUGAACAAGAAAAUGGACUUGUUGCAAUAAAAUAACAGAAAAAACAGUAGAAGGUGGGAUAGGAACCAAGUUCUUGCCUCUCCUCCCCAAACCUAUGGGAGCAUCAAGCUAGAUUCCAACUAUAUUCCUUUUCCAGCUAUCUUUUGUGUAACCAUUAUUUUUGCUACAGUGUUGUAUCCACUAUCCACCCACCAAAAAACUUAAAGGUCUCCUGUUUCUG